Molecule: ribosomal RNA, 217 nt
Filed under: uncultured bacterium
Lineage: Bacteria
Description: partial 16S ribosomal RNA
Rfam family: Bacterial small subunit ribosomal RNA
Source: RNAcentral
ACGCUCGACACCUAGGGGCAGCAGUAGGGAAUCUUCCACAAUGGACGCAAGUCUGAUGGAGCAACGCCGCGUGAGUGAAGAAGGUUUUCGGAUCGUAAAGCUCUGUUGUUGGUGAAGAAGGAUAGAGGUAGUAACUGGCCUUUAUUUGACGGUAAUCAACCAGAAAGUCACGGCUAACUACGUGCCGNNGCGCGGUAGUAUGAGCGGCGNGNGAGAG